Molecule: ribosomal RNA, 650 nt
Filed under: uncultured bacterium
Lineage: Bacteria
Description: bacterial SSU rRNA
Rfam family: Bacterial small subunit ribosomal RNA
Source: RNAcentral
CACAUGCAAGUCGAGCGGUAACAUUUCUAGCUUGCUAGAAGAUGACGAGCGGCGGACGGGUGAGUAAUGCUUGGGAACAUGCCUUGAGGUGGGGGACAACAGUUGGAAACGACUGCUAAUACCGCAUAAUGUCUACGGACCAAAGGGGGCUUCGGCUCUCGCCUUUAGAUUGGCCCAAGUGGGAUUAGCUAGUUGGUGAGGUAAUGACUCACCAAGGCGACGAUCCCUAGCUGGUUUGAGAGGAUGAUCAGCCACACUGGGACUGAGACACGGCCCAGACUCCUACGGGAGGCAGCAGUGGGGAAUAUUGCACAAUGGGCGCAAGCCUGAUGCAGCCAUGCCGCGUGUGUGAAGAAGGCCUUCGGGUUGUAAAGCACUUUCAGUCAGGAGGAAAGGUUAGUAGUUAAUACCUGCUAGCUGUGACGUUACUGACAGAAGAAGCACCGGCUAACUCCGUGCCAGCAGCCGCGGUAAUACGGAGGGUGCGAGCGUUAAUCGGAAUUACUGGGCGUAAAGCGUACGCAGGCGGUUUGUUAAGCGAGAUGUGAAAGCCCCGGGCUCAACCUGGGAACUGCAUUUCGAACUGGCAAACUAGAGUGUGAUAGAGGGUGGUAGAAUUUCAGGUGUAGCGGUGAAAUGCGUAGAGAUCU